UUUAAUUUAUUUAUUUUAAAUACUUUUGCAAUGCACAUAUCUUUUUACCUAAAUUUUCGAGCAAAUAUUACAAUAUUUUAAGGAAAAAAUUUAGUUAAAUUUAUUUUAAAAUUAAGUGAUAAAAUUAUGAUGUAACAUUCAUUCAACAUCAACAUUACAUAACACUGAUUGAUGAUUGAUUAUAUACACAAGAGGUACGUCUCACUGAAUAUAUAAUUUAUCCUAGACAGUUUCAGUCGUGUAACAAACAAAAUGCCAUAUUUAUUUAUGGCUAGGAAAUUAAACGUAUAGAAAUCAUUUUAACACAGGUAUGUUUAUGCAGGCGUUCAAAAACAGCGUUGGCAAUGAAACAUUUUUAUUUUUUAUUUUCAUAUUCUUAUUUUAGCUUUUUUAAUUGAAAGAAAUAUCAAU
Molecule: long non-coding RNA, 411 nt
Organism: Bactrocera latifrons
Lineage: Eukaryota; Metazoa; Arthropoda; Insecta; Diptera; Tephritidae
Exons: 3
Source: RefSeq, a predicted model, not a curated record